RNAcentral lists this ribosomal RNA (253 nucleotides) under uncultured bacterium. RNAcentral describes it as "partial 16S ribosomal RNA". It matches the Rfam family "Bacterial small subunit ribosomal RNA", at positions 524 to 776 of the family's 1533-position model. The record is from RNAcentral.
UACGAAGGGUGCAAGCGUUAAUCGGAAUUACUGGGCGUAAAGCGUGCGCAGGCGGUUAUGCAAGACAGAGGUGAAAUCCCCGGGCUCAACCUGGGAACUGCCUUUGUGACCGCAUAGCUAGAGUACGGCAGAGGGGGAUGGAAUUCCGCGUGUAGCAGUGAAAUGCGUAGAUAUGCGGAGGAACACCGAUGGCGAAGGCAAUCCCCUGGGCCUGUACUGACGCUCAUGCACGAAAGCGUGGGGAGCAAACAGG